UAAUUGAAGAGUUUGAUCAUGGCUCAGAUUGAACGCUGGCGGCAGGCCUAACACAUGCAAGUCG
RNAcentral lists this ribosomal RNA (64 nucleotides) under Vibrio cholerae. Its description in RNAcentral is "partial 16S ribosomal RNA". It matches the Rfam family "Bacterial small subunit ribosomal RNA", at positions 1 to 64 of the family's 1533-position model. The record is from RNAcentral. RNAcentral also lists the same sequence under 11 other names. Lineage: Bacteria; Pseudomonadati; Pseudomonadota; Gammaproteobacteria; Vibrionales; Vibrionaceae.